RNAcentral lists this transfer RNA (69 nucleotides) under Trimma flavatrum (wasp pygmy goby). Its description in RNAcentral is "tRNA-Ser". Lineage: Eukaryota; Metazoa; Chordata; Actinopteri; Gobiiformes; Gobiidae. The record is from RNAcentral.
GAAAGAGGCUCGCUGCAGCAAAGGCCGCUACCCUAAAGCUCCAUUCGGUUGAACUCCAAUGCUCUUUCG